ACUGGCAGCUAUUCUAGCUCUCUGCUACUCUCACAUGGUUGCCCACUGAAGCUAAGCAGGGCUGUGCCCAGUCAGUACUUGGAUGGGAGACCACAUGGGAAAGCUAGGUUACUGCUAGAA
Non-coding RNA from Danio rerio (zebrafish), 120 nucleotides. The record is from Rfam. Lineage: Eukaryota; Metazoa; Chordata; Actinopteri; Cypriniformes; Danionidae.